This is a long non-coding RNA of Hyaena hyaena (striped hyena), 618 nucleotides long. RefSeq lists it as uncharacterized. The record is from RefSeq and is a predicted model, not a curated record. Lineage: Eukaryota; Metazoa; Chordata; Mammalia; Carnivora; Hyaenidae. The transcript has 4 exons.
CCUAAGUGUUAGUGGAUAUUUAGCAAAUGGGUCGGUUGAUAGAGCAUUGGAUAGAAGGAUGGCUACCCGAGCGGCAGACAGAAUGCCAAAUCCACAGAUUGUUGGGACAGUGAAGGAGAAGAACAGUCCGUCGCUUCUUAGGGCUUGUUGGUGUGAAAGCACAGGAUACCCUUUACCCACAGCCUCAAGGUCAUGUUAUUACCCCACCUGGGUCCAUCAACCAACCUGCUUUAAUGUGACUCUGAAAAUAAGAACUUGUGAAAUCAGCCAGACAAGCAUUAUCCUCCCCAGUUUAGAGAGGAGAGCACCCAGUGCUAAUAAAAGUGGAACAGUGGGCCCAAGCAGUGACAGGGGAAGAGCUAGAAACCUCUGAUUAGAAGCCAGUCCCAAGUCCAGUAUUCUUGUUUUCCAGCUAUAAAAUGGAGGUGUGGGCGUAGUGAACUUGAUGAGCUCCAAGAACCCUAAUCCUGUUCCACUUCUUACAUGUACUUAUCCCUGUUGACAGCAUGAACAGAGAGAGGCUAAAACCACAGCUGAAUCCAGGAAGGCAAACCUUUGCCCACAAUUUGUCAGUAAGUGACAAAUAGUGUCUCAUUGUCUAUACAUCUCAAAGGACAA